This 442-nucleotide long non-coding RNA is filed under the name Nicotiana benthamiana. RNAcentral's name for it is "long non-coding RNA (NBEN_LNC023418)". The record is from RNAcentral. Lineage: Eukaryota; Viridiplantae; Streptophyta; Magnoliopsida; Solanales; Solanaceae.
UCGGCUCUAAUGCAUCAACUUGAGUCUCGCCCCCAAUGAUAUUAUAUGUUAUUUCAUGUCAAAAUUAGCACAUAAUAUCAUUUUCAGGACCAUUGGACACUGAUAAUCGUGAGCUGUGGUUCAGACUUUUCUUGAACCCUAGAUCCAAAAUUCUUAAGGUUUUUAGAUGGAUUUGGGAAAAAUAGCUUGGGACUAAAGCAGAGGAAAGUAAGGGGAGUAUGGGGUGUGGAUUUGGUAAGGUUUGGGUAGCGGCGCUGCAGUGGGCGAUAUCCACAAAUUCAAAGAUUCGAAGAGAAGGGAGGGGAUUCGAGACAUGGGAGUUUGGGGUUUGGAAAGACGGUACCGAGAGUAUGUGGUGUAAUUUUGAGAGGGAUUGGAGAACUUCCGCCGACGGAGGCGAUUUUCGGCGGCGAUUCACAGCGGAAAGUGGUGAGGUUUAAGG